CCAAUAGCGUAUAUUAAAGUUGUUGCAGUUAAAAAGCUCGUAGUUGAAUUUCGGGAUCAAAUUGUCGGUCGUGCCUCGGUACGUACUGGUAUUAUUGGUUCCUCCCUUCUGACGAACCACGAUGUCAUUAAUUUGGUGUCAUGGGAAAUCAGGACUGUCACUUUGAAAAAAUUAGAGUGUUUAAAGCAGGCUCGCGCUUGAAUACAUUAGCAUGGAAUAAUGAAAUAGGACGUUUGAUUCUAUUUUGCUGGUUUCUAGGAUCGACGUAAUGAUUAAUAGGGAUAGUUGGGGGCAUUAGUAUUCAAUUGUCAGAGGUGAAAUUCUUGGAUUUAUUGAAGACUAACUACUGCGAAAGCAUUUGCCAAGGAUGUUUUCAUUAAUCAAGAACGAAAGUUAGGGGAUCGAAGACGAUCAGAUACCGUCGUAGUCUUAACCAUAAACUAUGCCGACUAGGGAUCGGAUGAUGUUAAUUUUUUAAUGACUCAUUCGGCGCCUUACG
This 499-nucleotide ribosomal RNA is filed under the name uncultured Glomeromycotina. Its description in RNAcentral is "partial small subunit ribosomal RNA". It matches the Rfam family "Eukaryotic small subunit ribosomal RNA", at positions 591 to 1092 of the family's 1831-position model. Lineage: Eukaryota; Fungi; Glomeromycota. The record is from RNAcentral.